UUUGCGGAGAGUUUGAUCCUGGCUCAGAGUUAACGCUGGCAUCGUGCAUAACACAUGCAAGUCGAACGGGAAUUUUUUGUGUAGCAAUACAUGAAAAAUUCUAGUGGCAGACGGGUGAGUAAUACAUAAGGAAUCUACCUUGAAGUGGGGAACAACUAGUCGAAAGAUUAGCUAAUACUCCAUAAUAUCACUUAGUGGCAUCACUUAGUGAUUAAAGAUUUAUCGCUUCAAGACGAUCUUAUGGUCUAUCAGCUAGUUGGUAGGGUAAUGGCCUACCAAGGCGACGACGGAUAGCCGGCCUGAAAGGGCGACCGGCCACAGGGGCACUGAGACACGGGCCCCACUCCUACGGGAGGCAGCAGUGGGGAAUUUUGGACAAUGGACGCAAGUCUGAUCCAGCAACGAUGCGUGGAGGAUGAAGGUUUUCGGAUUGUAAACUCCUUUUGCAGGGGAAGAAAAAAAUGACGGUACUCUGCGAAUAAGCCACGGCUAACUACGUGCCAGCAGCCGCGGUAAGACGUAGGUGGCAAGCGUUACUCGGAAUUACUAGGCGUAAAGCGCGCGUAGGCGGAUUGUUAAGUCUGUUGUGUAAUCUCUGGGCCCAACCCAGAAACUGCAAUUGAAACUGGCGAUCUUGAGUGAGGCAGAGGAAAUCGGAAUUCCAAGUGUAGCAGUGAAAUGCGUAGAUAUUUGGAGGAACACCGGUGGCGAAGGCGGAUUUCUGGGCCUUUACUGACGCUGAAGUGCGAAAGCUAGGGGAGCAAACGGGAUUAGAUACCCCGGUAGUCCUAGCCGUAAACGAUGAUAACUAGGUGUGGGAGGUAUCGACCCCUUCCGUGCCGACGCUAACGCAUUAAGUUAUCCGCCUGGGGAGUACGGCCGCAAGGUUAAAACUCAAAGGAAUUGACGGGGACCCGCACAAGAGGUGGAUUAUGUGGUUUAAUUCGACGCUACGCGAAAAACCUUACCUGGGCUCGAACGACUGGUAGUAACAUUUAUGAAAGUAGAUGUGAUUCGCAAGAAAGCCAGCCGAGGUGCUGCAUGGUUGUCGUCAGCUCGUGUCGUGAGAUGUUGGGUUAAGUCCCGCAACGAGCGCAACCCCUAUUCUGUGUUGCCUAGCAAUAGGAUCUCUCAGAAGACUGCCGCGGAUAACGUGGAGGAAGGUGGGGAUGACGUCAAAUCAUCAUGGCCUUUAUGUCCAGGGCUACACACGUAAUACAAUGGCAUAGACAGAGGGCAGCAAUAUCGCGAGAUGGAGCCAAUCCCUAAACUAUGCCCCAGUUCAGAUUGCAGGCUGCAAUUCGCCUGCAUGAAGCCGGAAUCUCUAGUAAUCGCAGAUCAGCACGCUGCGGUGAAUACGUUCCCGGGUCUUGUACACACCGCCCGUCACACCACGAAAGUUAAUUGCAACAGAAGUGCUCAGGUCGUCUGGGCCCUAAGUUGUGAUUAGUAAUUGGGGUGAAGUCGUAACAAGGUAGCCGUACCGGAAGGUGCGGCUGGAUCACCUCCUUU
Molecule: ribosomal RNA, 1512 nt
Organism: Elusimicrobium minutum Pei191
Lineage: Bacteria; Pseudomonadati; Elusimicrobiota; Elusimicrobia; Elusimicrobiales; Elusimicrobiaceae
Rfam family: Bacterial small subunit ribosomal RNA
Source: Rfam